GGUGGCUCAGUGGUAGAGCUCUUGCCUUGCAUGCAUGAGGCCCUGGGUUCAAUUUCCAAGCACCA
This 65-nucleotide transfer RNA is filed under the name Dipodomys ordii (Ord's kangaroo rat). It matches the Rfam family "tRNA". Rfam says of the family: Transfer RNA (tRNA) molecules are approximately 80 nucleotides in length. Their secondary structure includes four short double-helical elements and three loops (D, anti-codon, and T loops). The record is from Rfam by way of RNAcentral. Lineage: Eukaryota; Metazoa; Chordata; Mammalia; Rodentia; Heteromyidae.